GAUUAUAGAUGAUGCUUAUAUCCACAUGAGCAUAAUUCUCUCUAACAUAAAACCUGAAAAUGAUGGGACUGUUCCCAAAAUUCUCAAGAAUCUCCGUUUAUUCUCUAGAUCCCUCCUAGAACACAGUGAAGGCACUCCUCUUCAUAUUAUGUUUUUAACGGAUGAAAAAUCCAAGUCAGAGAUUAAGAAAGUAAUCCGAGAAGAGAUAGGCCGACAACUCUCAUAUCAUGUGAUCUACCCUUUCUUCAUUCUGACGAAAAACAGGAAAUU
Molecule: long non-coding RNA, 270 nt
Organism: Eurytemora carolleeae
Lineage: Eukaryota; Metazoa; Arthropoda; Copepoda; Calanoida; Temoridae
Exons: 3
Source: RefSeq, a predicted model, not a curated record